RNAcentral lists this transfer RNA (76 nucleotides) under Thermoanaerobacter sp. Its description in RNAcentral is "tRNA-Lys". It matches the Rfam family "tRNA". Rfam says of the family: Transfer RNA (tRNA) molecules are approximately 80 nucleotides in length. Lineage: Bacteria; Bacillati; Bacillota; Clostridia; Thermoanaerobacterales; Thermoanaerobacteraceae. RNAcentral also lists the same sequence under 15 other names. The record is from RNAcentral.
GGGCCAUUAGCUCAACUGGUAGAGCAGGCGACUCUUAAUCGUCAGGUUGGGGGUUCGAUUCCCUCAUGGCCCACCA